Molecule: ribosomal RNA, 253 nt
Filed under: uncultured bacterium
Lineage: Bacteria
Description: partial 16S ribosomal RNA
Rfam family: Bacterial small subunit ribosomal RNA
Source: RNAcentral
UACGUAGGGUGCAAGCGUUGUCCGGAAUUAUUGGGCGUAAAGAGCUCGUAGGCGGUCUGUCGCGUCUGCUGUGAAAACUCGGGGCUUAACCCCGGGCCUGCAGUGGGUACGGGCAGACUAGAGUGCGGUAGGGGAGACUGGAAUUCCUGGUGUAGCGGUGAAAUGCGCAGAUAUCGGGAGGAACACCAGUAGCGAAGGCGGCACUCUGGGCCGGUACUGACGCUGAGGAGCGAAAGCGUGGGGAGCAAACAGG